RNAcentral lists this ribosomal RNA (486 nucleotides) under uncultured bacterium. RNAcentral's name for it is "bacterial SSU rRNA". It matches the Rfam family "Bacterial small subunit ribosomal RNA", at positions 501 to 986 of the family's 1533-position model. The record is from RNAcentral.
CUACGUGCCAGCAGCCGCGGUAAUACGUAGGUGGCAAGCGUUGUCCGGAAUUAUUGGGCGUAAAGCGCGCGCAGGCGGAUCAGUUAGUCUGUCUUAAAAGUUCGGGGCUUAACCCCGUGAUGGGAUGGAAACUGCUGAUCUAGAGUAUCGGAGAGGAAAGUGGAAUUCCUAGUGUAGCGGUGAAAUGCGUAGAUAUUAGGAAGAACACCAGUGGCGAAGGCGACUUUCUGGACGAAAACUGACGCUGAGGCGCGAAAGCCAGGGGAGCGAACGGGAUUAGAUACCCCGGUAGUCCUGGCCGUAAACGAUGGGUACUAGGUGUAGGAGGUAUCGACCCCUUCUGUGCCGGAGUUAACGCAAUAAGUACCCCGCCUGGGGAGUACGACCGCAAGGUUGAAACUCAAAGGAAUUGACGGGGGCCCGCACAAGCGGUGGAGUAUGUGGUUUAAUUCGACGCAACGCGAAGAACCUUACCAGGUCUUGACA